This 505-nucleotide ribosomal RNA is filed under the name uncultured bacterium. RNAcentral's name for it is "partial 16S ribosomal RNA". It matches the Rfam family "Bacterial small subunit ribosomal RNA", at positions 28 to 507 of the family's 1533-position model. The record is from RNAcentral.
GACGAACGCUGGCGGCGUGCUUAACACAUGCAAGUCGAACGGUGAAGGGACUGGUUUUGCUGGUCCUGGAUGAGUGGCGAACGGGUGAGUAACACGUGAGUAACCUGCCCCCUUCUUCUGGAUAACCGCAUGAAAGUGUGGCUAAUACGGGAUAUUCUGGGUCUGUCGCAUGGUGGGCCUGGGAAAGAUUGCGCCUUUUUUGGUGUUUUUGGUGGGGGAUGGGCUCGCGGCCUAUCAGCUUGUUGGUGGGGUGAUGGCCUACCAAGGCGGUGACGGGUAGCCGGCUGAGAGGGUGGACGGUCACACUGGGACUGAGACACGGCCCAGACUCCUACGGGAGGCAGCAGUGGGGAAUAUUGCACAAUGGGCGCAAGCCUGAUGCAGCGACGCCGCGUGAGGGAUGGAGGCCUUCGGGUUGUGAACCUCUUUCGCCAGUGAAGCAGGCCUGCCUCUUUGUGUGGGUGGGUUGACGGUAGCUGGAUAAGAAGCGCCGGCUAACUACGUG